Molecule: long non-coding RNA, 1226 nt
Filed under: Triticum aestivum (bread wheat)
Lineage: Eukaryota; Viridiplantae; Streptophyta; Magnoliopsida; Poales; Poaceae
Description: long non-coding RNA (TAES_LNC008032)
Source: RNAcentral
CUGUCGUCUCUCGCUUUCCUUUGCCUUCUCCUCUGUUCUCCCCUCUAGGCCCCAACCUUGCACGCAAAUUGCAAUAAUACAGUGUGGUGCUUUUACUUGAUGAUGCCUAGUAGGUCAUUGACCCUUGGUUCCUGGGAUUGAAGUCUUAGCGUAGUGGUAUAUCUCAUCGAAGACGAGAAUUAUCACAAAUUUUAAGUGUCUGAUUCUCGCCGCGUCAUAUUAUUUCUCAAAUUUCAGCUUGAUUUUGAUUUCUUGCUCCUGAUUCGGGGGAUGCAUACCGCAAUGUAUUUACCAGACCUGAAAUCGAAAAGUGUACUUGUUGACUCAGAGCGGCCGGUGCCUCUGGAUACCAAAAUUACAACUGUAUUUUAAGCAGUAAAACGACUUAGCUGGAAGUAUAUAAAACACUGGCUCAUGAAGUGACGAGUAGUCUUUUAGCUGGAAGUAUAUAAAACACUGGCUCAUGAAGUGAUCAGUAAGUCUUGUCUUUUCGAGAAGAGUAAAUUUUCGAAAUAGAGAAUGAAACAAGAAAAAGAAAUUACACGGCAAAUUAAAAAAUUUGGGGUGAGAGAGGCUCGAACUCUCGACCUCAGGAUCACUCGCUUUAGCUAUGAGACCUACGCGCUAGCCAACUGCGCCACCACCCCUUUGAUGUUCUAAGAGAUAUUGUAAACUAAUUAUGACGAGCGUACUGUGAUCUGUAGACUAUUUUCAGCCUAAAACUCGCAUCUAUUGCUUUUUUGCGGGGACGCAUCUAGUAUUUUAAUCCAUGAUUUGUACUGGAUCAAGAGAUCCUACAGUAUACAGUGAUAUAAUAGCCUAACUGGACAUAAAAAUGAACCUAAACACAGAGGAGAUUAUAUAUUAAAAUUCUUACUGAAGCCAUAGCAAACUCGUCAUCGUUUCACUACCAUAGCUCUCACCAAUCAGUGGCUGAGCUCAAGACAAUGUGUGUUCAUAUUUCCCUAUUAAUCACAUUUUAUUAAAGUUUUUUUUACUUUAGUUAAAGCAUAUAUGUGUUUUCCUGUGUUUAUUAUACAUAAGUAGUCAACCAUAUUGCAUAAAUAAUGGGUGUACAAAUGUAGUCAAUCAUUGGUAGUACUGCUCAGGUGGAGACGUAGUACCGCCCGGAGAGGUACUACCGCUCAUGGGGAGAGGUAGUGCCGCUUACUACUUAUAAGAGGUACUACGGCUCUAUUACCGUAAAACCCGACACGAAAAAAAAA